CCACAUCAACUCCAAUCGGUUUUGCGGCAGUGUCCCGAAGAGUUUCAGCAAACUGAAGCUGCUUUUUGAGCUUGAUCUGAGCAACAACCGCUUUGCUGGGAAGUUCCCUCUUGUUGUUCUUCGACUGCCAAAGCUAAAAUUCCUGGACCUGCGAUUCAAUGAGUUUGAAGGUAAGGUCCCCAAGGAACUGUUUGAUAAAGAUCUAGAUGCAAUCUUCAUCAACCACAACAUGUUCUCCUUCGAAUUGCCAGAUAAUUUGGGGAACUCGCCAGUCUCAGUUAUUGUUCUUGCAAACAACAACUUCCAUGGGUGUGUGCCAGCCAGCCUUGGUAACAUGUCCAAGAAUUUGAACGAAGUGGUGCUCACAAACAACGGCUUCCACUCGUGCUUGCCAAAGGAAAUAGGGAUGCUGAAGGAUGUAACUGUGUUUGAUGUGAGCUAUAAUCGGAUUGUCGGUGAGUUGCCAGAGGCAGUGGGUGAAAUGGUGAGCUUGGAGAAGCUCAAUGUGGCUCAUAACAUGCUAAGAGGGAACAUACCUGAGAGCGUUUGUGAGCUUCAGAACCUGAGGAACUUUAGCUUUGAGCACAACUUCUUCACUAGUGAGCCACCAAUGUGUUUGAAAUUGGAGAAGUUUGAUGACAGCAAGAAUUGCUUGCGGCGUAGGCCAAAGCAGAGAACCAUGUUGC
RNAcentral lists this long non-coding RNA (686 nucleotides) under Prunus persica (peach). RNAcentral describes it as "long non-coding RNA (PPER_LNC001492)". The record is from RNAcentral. Lineage: Eukaryota; Viridiplantae; Streptophyta; Magnoliopsida; Rosales; Rosaceae.